UUAAAAUUAAAAAUCACAUAGUGUUAAAUGUCACAAGUUCAAAUCCCGACAAAUAUAUACAUUAAAAAGAAGAAGAAUAUAACUAAUGAGUUGAUAAAAACAAAAAUUGACCUAAAUCCAACCUAAAAGAUACUCGAUAAAGGCCAAACAAAAAAAACUUAAAAAGAGAAUAAAACUCAAACCUAAAAGAAAAACCUAAAUCCAACCUAAAAGAUCAAAAACAUAACUCCCAUAAAAAUAAUAAAAC
RNAcentral lists this long non-coding RNA (247 nucleotides) under Lathyrus oleraceus (garden pea). RNAcentral's name for it is "Pisum sativum (pea) long non-coding RNA (PSAT_LNC010712)". Lineage: Eukaryota; Viridiplantae; Streptophyta; Magnoliopsida; Fabales; Fabaceae. The record is from RNAcentral.